GAUGAACGCUGGCGGCGUGCCUAAUACAUGCAAGUAGAACGCUGAAGGAGGAGCUUGCUCUUCUGGAUGAGUUGCGAACGGGUGAGUAACGCGUAGGUAACCUGCCUGGUAGCGGGGGAUAACUAUUGGAAACGAUAGCUAAUACCGCAUGACAACAGUUAUUGCAUGAUAACUGUUUAAAAGGGGCAACUGCUCCACUACCAGAUGGACCUGCGUUGUAUUAGCUAGUUGGUGAGGUAACGGCUCACCAAGGCGACGAUACAUAGCCGACCUGAGAGGGUGAUCGGCCACACUGGGACUGGGACACGGCCCAGACUCCUACGGGAGGCAGCAGUAGGGAAUCUUCGGCAAUGGACGGAAGUCUGACCGAGCAACGCCGCGUGAGGGAAGAAGGUUUUCGGAUCGUAAAGCUCUGUUGUAAGAGAAGAACGAGUGUGAGAGUGGAAAGUUCACACUGUGACGGUAUCUUACCAGAAAGAGACGGCUAACUACGUG
Molecule: ribosomal RNA, 495 nt
Filed under: uncultured bacterium
Lineage: Bacteria
Description: partial 16S ribosomal RNA
Rfam family: Bacterial small subunit ribosomal RNA
Source: RNAcentral